GCGGGUGUGGCGGAAUUGGCAGACGCACUAGACUUAGGAUCUAGCGCCUUACGGCGUGGGGGGUCGGCUCCCUUCACCCGCC
RNAcentral lists this transfer RNA (82 nucleotides) under Staphylococcus aureus. Its description in RNAcentral is "tRNA-Leu". It matches the Rfam family "tRNA". Rfam says of the family: Transfer RNA (tRNA) molecules are approximately 80 nucleotides in length. Their secondary structure includes four short double-helical elements and three loops (D, anti-codon, and T loops). The record is from RNAcentral. Lineage: Bacteria; Bacillati; Bacillota; Bacilli; Caryophanales; Staphylococcaceae.